AAAUUGAAGAGUUUGAUCAUGGCUCAGAUUGAACGCUGGCGGCAGGCCUAACACAUGCAAGUCGAACGGUAACAGGAAGCAGCUUGCUGCUUCGCUGACGAGUGGCGGACGGGUGAGUAAUGUCUGGGAAACUGCCUGAUGGAGGGGGAUAACUACUGGAAACGGUGGCUAAUACCGCAUAACGUCGCAAGACCAAAGAGGGGGACCUUCGGGCCUCUUGCCAUCAGAUGUGCCCAGAUGGGAUUAGCUGGUUGGUGAGGUAACGGCUCACCAAGGCGACGAUCCCUAGCUGGUCUGAGAGGAUGACCAGCCACACUGGAACUGAGACACGGCCCAGACUCCUACGGGAGGCAGCAGUGGGGAAUAUUGCACAAUGGGCGCAAGCCUGAUGCAGCCAUGCCGCGUGUAUGAAGAAGGCCUUCGGGUUGUAAAGUACUUUCAGCGGGGAGGAAGGUGUUGUGGUUAAUAACC
This 471-nucleotide ribosomal RNA is filed under the name Salmonella enterica. Its description in RNAcentral is "bacterial SSU rRNA". It matches the Rfam family "Bacterial small subunit ribosomal RNA", at positions 1 to 468 of the family's 1533-position model. The record is from RNAcentral. Lineage: Bacteria; Pseudomonadati; Pseudomonadota; Gammaproteobacteria; Enterobacterales; Enterobacteriaceae.